This 506-nucleotide ribosomal RNA is filed under the name uncultured bacterium. RNAcentral's name for it is "partial 16S ribosomal RNA". It matches the Rfam family "Bacterial small subunit ribosomal RNA", at positions 30 to 523 of the family's 1533-position model. The record is from RNAcentral.
AUUGAACGCUGGCGGCAGGCCUAACACAUGCAAGUCGAACGGUAACAGAAAGCAGCUUGCUGCUUUGCUGACGAGUGGCGGACGGGUGAGUAAUGUCUGGGAAACUGCCUGAUGGAGGGGGAUAACUACUGGAAACGGUAGCUAAUACCGCAUAACGUCGCAAGACCAAAGAGGGGGACCUUCGGGCCUCUUGCAAUCGGAUGUGCCCAGAUGGGAUUAGCUAGUAGGUGGGGUAACGGCUCACCUAGGCGACGAUCCCUAGCUGGUCUGAGAGGAUGACCAGCCACACUGGAACUGAGACACGGUCCAGACUCCUACGGGAGGCAGCAGUGGGGAAUAUUGCACAAUGGGCGCAAGCCUGAUGCAGCCAUGCCGCGUGUAUGAAGAAGGCCUUCGGGUUGUAAAGUACUUUCAGCGGGGAGGAAGGGAGUAAAGUUAAUACCUUUACUCAUUGACGUUACCCGCAGAAGAAGCACCGGCUAACUCCGUGCCAGCCGCCGCGGUAA